UGGGGAAUAUUGGACAAUGGGCGAAAGCCUGAUCCAGCCAUGCCGCGUGUGUGAAGAAGGUCUUCGGAUUGUAAAGCACUUUAAGUUGGGAGGAAGGGCAGUAAGUUAAUACCUUGCUGUUUUGACGUUACCGACAGAAUAAGCACCGGCUAACUCUGUGCCA
RNAcentral lists this ribosomal RNA (163 nucleotides) under uncultured bacterium. RNAcentral describes it as "partial 16S ribosomal RNA". It matches the Rfam family "Bacterial small subunit ribosomal RNA", at positions 355 to 510 of the family's 1533-position model. The record is from RNAcentral.